Molecule: long non-coding RNA, 329 nt
Filed under: Capsicum annuum
Lineage: Eukaryota; Viridiplantae; Streptophyta; Magnoliopsida; Solanales; Solanaceae
Description: long non-coding RNA (CANN_LNC007880)
Source: RNAcentral
UCAACUUUGCUUCCACUAUUAUCCAAGAGCUUCUCAAUGUCAUCUACCCCUCUAAACAUGCUCCGGUCUCUCACAGAAUUCCGUCCAUUGUAGAAAUGACCUCAUAAACUUCUGUAAGUUUCACAGUUAUCUGCACCUCCUUAAUUUACUUAUGAAGUGGACUAAAUAUAUACAUACUAAAUAUAUACAUAUUUUGUUCUACUUGACAUGUUGGAGUUUUCAACGUUAAAACAGAAAUGUCAAUAUUAGACGAGUUCCAAAAGUUCUGCCUGCUGGAUUGUUCAGGCUACAAAAGACAGAAAGCCAUUCGAUUGUGCAAACUGUAAGCG